UUUUCCUUUGGCUAAGGUCACCUAGGAAACACAGAUGGCCUGCAUUCCUUCACCCCAGCUCUUAAAAACUCCUGCCCUUUGUUUCAGUGGAGCUGGUAUUCAGAAUUGGUCUUGCUGUCUCUCCUAUUGCUGGAAACAGGGUUGGAAGCAAUCAGCUUCUGUCUUCAUCUUCUUCAGUUCAAUUUUCUCCUUUAGCAGGUAUUAUCUUCUGUUUCUGUUGCAUCUGUUCUGGAUGUCUCUGAUCCACCAUGACUUCCAGUUACCUGAUCCAUAGUCUACAUAUCCAUUCUUCCAAUGGACCAUGAAAUUGAAUUGGGACCUGUGCUGUAAGAAAUCGCCCAGAAUGUCACAGGAGACUGGCACACACCCUCUAAUGAGAAAACAUUUCACAAGCAACAAAAACCACGGUCAAAAAUAAUCAGAGAGUUGAUGAUGGAAAGAAACCUAAAGGAGCAUAAUCCAAAAAGCGGAAAAAGUUAAUCCUCUUCAUCCACCCAGGAUUAGCCUGCCCAUCCAACAGAUCCAUGACUUUGAUAUUAGCUCUCUGGAAGCAUUAAAUUAAUUGUGAAAUUUUUUUCCUAAGGAGAAAGGAUGAAUAUUUGUUUUAAAAAUAAAACAAAAUAGGGGCGCCUGGGUGGCGCAGUCGGUUAAGCGUCCGACUUCAGCCAGGUCACGAUCUCGCGGUCCAUGAGUUCGAGCCCCGCGUCAGGCUCUGGGCUGAUGGCUCAGAGCCUGGAGCCUGUUUCUGAUUCUGUGUCUCCCUCUCUCUCUGCCCCUCCCCCGUUCAUGCUCUGUCUCUCUCUGUCCCAAAAAUAAAAAAAAUAAACGUUGAAAAAAAAAAUUAAAAAAAAAAAAAUAAAAAUAAAACAAAAUUAAGACUAUAUACAGUCGGAAGAAGACAGAAAUGGUAGAAGAAAGAAGAAAAUGAAGAGCAGAAAGCAGAGGAGAAGUAGAAAGAGAAGGAAGAGAAGAAGGGGAAGGAGAAGAAGAAGAAAUGUAGAAAUGGCAAUUACAUAAAAUCAAAAAUUUUUUUUGAAUUUCAUUUUCAUCCUCUAAAUUCUUACUUAUAACCAUUUAUCUCUCCAAAUGGCUUUUAAAAAUCAGGAUAAAAGUUGGUACUAUAUUUAUUGAUUUUUUAUAUCAAUAAUCACCUCUAAUUAGGGUUCUUCCUUUGAGUUUCUAAACAAAGAUAAAAAUUAUAACUGUUUAAAAAUACUACUUCAUCUUCAAUCCAGUAGAGGCCAUUCCAUAUAUUGAGUAAAUUUCAAUAGCACAUACAUAGUAUCUGUACAUACACUUGAAGAUUACAUGAAAUAAUAUACACACAUAAGAACAAUUAAGCACCCACUGUAUAUAUGAGAAAUGAAAAUGCGCUGGGUGAGGAAAAGCUUCCAGAAGUAAGAAAACUCAACCUGGAUUCAUACACAAAGAGACAUGUAAAGCUUGAUGACUGUCUGCAGUACUUCUAGUUUUGUGCUGAUAAUGUAAAUGUUUUUAAAACAGUAUCACAUAGGGGGCACCUGGGUGGCUCAGUCUGUUAAACAUCUGACUCUUGGUUUCGGCUCAGGUCACGAUCUCACAGUUUCAUGAGUUCAAGCCCCACAUCAGGCUCUGAGCUGGCGGUGCAGAGCCUGCUUGAGAUUCUCUCUCUCUCCCUUGCUCUCUGCCCCUCCCUCACUUAUUCUGUCUCUGUUUCUCUCAAAGUAAAUAAAUAAGCUUAAAAAAAAACCUUAAGUACAUAUUAUAUGGAAACAGGCAAUUGAUAAAAAACAUAAAAAUAUAUAAUAUGCUAUAUGUUGAGAAAUACUAAGGAGAAGCCUAACACAGGGAAAGUAAGUAGAAAUUAUGUGCAGGGGGGUUAUUAGUUAAAUUAGGUGGUCAGAGAGAGCCUCACUAAACAGAUGGUAUUUGAGCUAAGAUUUGGGUGAUAAGGAAGGAAGCCAUGUAAAUAUUUGGAGGAACAGCAUUCCAUGUAGAAGGAACAACAUGAGCAGCACUUCCCAGGGCAGAAAAUGCCUAGAAUGUUUAAGAAAUAGCAAGGCGAGCUGUGCACCUAGAAGAGAGAGGAGAGUAACAGGAGAUGAAGUCAUAGAGUUGAGGGCAUAGGUGGACAUGGGCUUGCCCAUGCUUCUAAUGACGGUCUUUACUGUUAGUGAAGUGAGAACACUGGAGGAUUGUUACCAGGAAAGUGCAAUUAUCUGUUUAUGGUGGAGUAUUUCGUGGCUAGUGUGUCGCAGGGAGAACAACACCGAUGUGGAGAAAGCAUUUAGGAAGCCAUCAUUGCAAUAGGUGAGAUGGUGGCUUAGACAAGGGUGAGCAUAGCAAGAAAUGUUUGGAUUCUUGACUCUAUCAUCAAAUUGUUAACUGCUCAGUUAGGAGAAAAAGUCUGGAAAACAUUAAAAGUAUUUUCUAAAAAAAGGUGGGGGGUGGGGAAUAAAUCAUUUGUUUCUUAAACUCUAGCUUAGAACAAUAUGAAAGCUUUUAGCAACUAUUUUGUUAAAGGCAUUAAGAUUAAAUUUCAUUCACAGCCCAUGGUACCAUGUUUGAAACAGAGAAGAUGCUCAAAAAUAUAUCCUGAAUUGAACUGAAUUGAAUCAAGAAAUUAUCAGAGAAAAAGAAUGAAUUCCAGUCUUAUGCCUGCAGCUGGCUUAAACCUGAAUAUCAGAAAGAAAAUGUUCAGAAUUUCUCCCUAUUUUUCUACUGUCUUGUUCAAGUUCCCAGCCAGACUUAUUCCAAGUGUGGCCCCCUGGACCAGAGCAUCAGCACAAGUGAGAGCUUGUUGGUUAUGCAAACCUUAGGUGCCAUUUGCAGACAUCCUGGACCAGCAUCUUGGGAGGUAGCCCAAGAAUCUGUGUUUUAACAACCUUGCAGGUGAUUCUUAGGAGCACUGAAGUUUAAGAAGAACAGUUCACAACUAUCCUCAAAAUCAAAUUCAGUUAUUUAUUACUACCCAGAAUAGGAUCCUAGACUCAAAACCAGAGUUUUUAUUAAGGUAUUUUUAAAUCCAAAGAUCACUAAAUAAUUUAUAUAUAAUAUAAUCAUGCAAUUUAUAAAUACACAUAUGUGUAUGUGUAUGAGUGUAUAAUCACCCCAGGUAUACUUUCAGACUGGCCGUCACCUGACAGCCUUGGUUAGCAAAGCUAUAUCUAUGACACUUGUUCUUCUAGGACCUUUUGAGCCAUCCCAGAUACCCUGCACUCUAAGAAUGACUUCAAGAAGCAAAAGACAGAAGCAGCCCUAUUGGGAAAGCCUUGCUUUUUAUCUCUUUCUAAGCAAGCUAUUAUACAAAGUGAAACAAUAUAAACAAGAUUUGUUCAUUUGCUUAUUUGAUUGUUUUAACCAGGAAAGAUGAUUGUUUAUAAAGGCUUUGCUUCUCAGCUCUUGGAUGUUCAGAGUAAUGAAGUGGAGAGGUUGUAUGCAGGCUUUGGGAGCUGACAGAUCCUAGUUCGAAUCCUGGUUCUGUUUAUUCUAGCCACGCAAACUCGGUCAAGUUGCCUAAUCUCUCUGAGUCUCAUUCCUCAUCUAAAAAGUAAGCUGGAGGGUAGUCUCUGUGGUGCAAUUGCAAUUGGCUAGCGAAUUGGGCUGUGAACUGAAAUGCUGGUGGUUCAAUCCCACCCGCGCAAGUCUGGAAUUAUACAGUCUUGGGGCAAAUGGCUGGCUCAGUCGGUUGAGCAUCAGACUCUUGAUUUCGGUUCAGGUCAUGAUCUCAAGGUUCUGGGAUGAGCCCUGCCUCAGGCUCCACACUGGGCAUGGAUCCUGCUUCAGAUUCUCUCUCUCCCUCUACCCCUCCCCUGCUCUUGGUCUCUCUCUCUCUCUCUAAAGUAAACAAACAAACAAAUAAUAAGAAGUAAACAAGACACUACGGUAAUAGAUUGGUGUGUGACACAAAUGAAGUACUCAACAAAUUUGCAUUCCCUACUUCUAUCUAUAAUCUGUCAGUAAUUUUUAUUUCCAGCCCUUUUCCCUACAUGCUAGAACUGAUGUAAAAAAUAACCUUCCCUCCACCCACCCACAAUGUGAUGCAUUGAGGAAAUACUGAUUUGGGGAAAUGUGUAGCUUAAAUGUCUUUAAUGCUGGAUUUCCAGAUUCUCUUCCCCCAGAACCACCCAUGGGGAAAAGGAAGAGAAACCACUUCCCACAGCUGGGGCUUUCCUCAUUUCCAAAGCUGCAGAAUAAUCACAAUUCCCAAAGGAAGCAUGCCAGGCUUGGAGGCUCUCUUUUCUACCAGGAGAGCAUUUAAUAGUUCUUUCAACAGGACAGGCCUUCAGCCAUUCUCCAUAUUAUUUAUCUGUAACCUAUUACUUUUAAGUAAAAUCUUACCGUUUUACAAAAUAAAGAACAUUAAUCUUCUACACUCCA
Acinonyx jubatus (cheetah) is the source of this 4359-nucleotide long non-coding RNA. RefSeq lists it as uncharacterized. The record is from RefSeq and is a predicted model, not a curated record. NCBI's taxonomy places the organism in Eukaryota, Metazoa, Chordata, Mammalia, Carnivora, Felidae. The transcript is spliced from 4 exons.